GCAAUUGUACCGCGAAACUGCGAAUGGCUCAUUAAAUCAGUUAUCGUCUAUUUGAUAGUACCUUACUACUUGGAUAACCGUGGUAAUUCUAGAGCUAAUACAUGCUGAAAACCCCGACUUCGGAAGGGAUGUAUUUAUUAGAUUAAAAACCAAUGCCCUCCGGGGCUCCCUGGUGAUUCAUGAUAACUUCUCGAAUCGCACGGCCUUGCGCCGGCGAUGGUUCAUUCAAAUUUCUGCCCUAUCAACUUUCGACGGCUGGGUCUUGGCCAGCCAUGGUGACAACGGGUAACGGAGGGUUAGGGCUCGACCCCGGAGAAGGAGCCUGAGAAACGGCUACUACAUCUAAGGAAGGCAGCAGGCGCGCAAAUUACCCAAUCCCGACGCGGGGAGGUAGUGACAAUAAAUACUGAUACAGGGCUCUUUAGGGUCGUGUAAUUGGAAUGAGUACAGUUUAAUUCCCUUAACGAGGAACAAUUGGAGGGCAAGUCUGGUGCCAGCAGCCGCGGUAAUUCCAGCUCCAAUAGCGUAUAUUAAAGUUGUUGCAGUUAAAAAGCUCGUAGUUGAACCUUGGGCCUGGCUGGCCGGUCCGCCUCACCGCGUGCACUGGUCCGGCCGGGCCUUUCCCUCUGGGGAGCCGCAUGCCCUUCACUGGGCGUGCCGGGGAACCAGGACGUUUACUUUGAAAAAAUUAGAGUGUUCAAAGCAGGCUUAUGCUCGGAUACAUUAGCAUGGAAUAAUGGAAUAGGACGUGCGGUUCUAUUUUGUUGGUUUCUAGGACCGCCGUAAUGAUUAAUAGGGACAGUCGGGGGCAUCAGUAUUCAAUUGUCAGAGGUGAAAUUCUUGGAUUUAUUGAAGACUAACUACUGCGAAAGCAUUUGCCAAGGAUGUUUUCAUUAAUCAGGAACGAAAGUUAGGGGAUCGAAGACGAUCAGAUACCGUCGUAGUCUUAACCAUAAACUAUGCCGACUAGGGAUCGGACGCUGUUGUCUUUUGACGCGUUCGGCACCUUACACGAAAGUACAAGUUUCUGGGUUCUGGGGGGAGUA
This 1046-nucleotide ribosomal RNA is filed under the name Harringtonia lauricola. RNAcentral describes it as "SSU rRNA". It matches the Rfam family "Eukaryotic small subunit ribosomal RNA", at positions 69 to 1125 of the family's 1831-position model. Lineage: Eukaryota; Fungi; Ascomycota; Sordariomycetes; Ophiostomatales; Ophiostomataceae. The record is from RNAcentral.